CGGAGCUUAGCUCAGUUGGUUUAGAGCGCUUCCUCGACAAGGAAGAGGUCACUGGUUCGAAUCCAGUAGUUCCGACCA
RNAcentral lists this transfer RNA (78 nucleotides) under Saprospiraceae bacterium. RNAcentral's name for it is "tRNA-Val". It matches the Rfam family "tRNA". Rfam says of the family: Transfer RNA (tRNA) molecules are approximately 80 nucleotides in length. Their secondary structure includes four short double-helical elements and three loops (D, anti-codon, and T loops). Lineage: Bacteria; Pseudomonadati; Bacteroidota; Saprospiria; Saprospirales; Saprospiraceae. The record is from RNAcentral. RNAcentral also lists the same sequence under 1 other name.